GAUGAAUGCUGGCGGCGUGCCUAAUACAUGCAAGUCGAGCGAACGGACGAGAAGCUUGCUUCUCUGAUGUUAGCGGCGGACGGGUGAGUAACACGUGGAUAACCUACCUAUAAGACUGGGAUAACUUCGGGAAACCGGAGCUAAUACCGGAUAAUAUUUUGAACCGCAUGGUUCAAAAGUGAAAGACGGUCUUGCUGUCGCUUAUAGAUGGAUCCGCGCUGCAUUAGCUAGUUGGUAAGGUAACGGCUUACCAAGGCAACGAUGCAUAGCCGACCUGAGAGGGUGAUCGGCCACCCUGGAACUGAGACACGGUCCAGACUCCUACGGGAGGCAGCAGUAGGGAAUCUUCCGCAAUGGGCGAAAGCCUGACGGAGCAACGCCGCGUGAGUGAUGAAGGUCUUCGGAUCGUAAAACUCUGUUAUUAGGGAAGAACAUAUGUGUAAGUAACUGUGCACAUCGUGACGGUACCUAAUCAGAAAGCCACGGCUAACUACGUG
This 497-nucleotide ribosomal RNA is filed under the name uncultured bacterium. RNAcentral describes it as "partial 16S ribosomal RNA". It matches the Rfam family "Bacterial small subunit ribosomal RNA", at positions 28 to 507 of the family's 1533-position model. The record is from RNAcentral.